Danio rerio (zebrafish) is the source of this 3342-nucleotide non-coding RNA. The record is from RefSeq and is a predicted model, not a curated record. Lineage: Eukaryota; Metazoa; Chordata; Actinopteri; Cypriniformes; Danionidae.
CCUGUUCUACUGACACAGCAUGCACUCAUUGGUGCCAGAAGGCUGAUGGCUAGCCGUUUAAAGUUUGAUACCACCUUGUCGUUUCAUGUCCAGAUUGGUAGAUAUAAGAGUUCAUUGUUGAGAUUGGUAUUCUUUCGCAGAGGCAAUAUCAUAGCCUAUGAGGCCUAGCCGAGGCGUGAUCAUUGCUGGUUGAAAACUUUACCCAAUACCCCGCCGAGAUGGCUUGAAAUACAGUCAGCUCUGGCAAUUUUUGACAGCCUCCUAGAAGGCUCAAUGUUCUGUUCAAAAGAAUAGCUGAGUGUCUGGAUCUUGAACAUGCUGCAAUUUGCGCCAGAGUUGUUUCACUAAACAUGCAGCAGGUUGGAUUCACCUGAACCAUGACAAUCUUCAGAAUGUUGUCAGAAAACUUCAGCGGAAGCACCAGGCUCUCUGAAAAAUUGAACGACGAGGAUGGGAUUGAACCCACGCGUGGAUUAGCAGUCCAUCCCCUUAACCGCUUGGCAACCUCGUCAUGAAUUUACCCAGUUUCCUGGUGGGGGCUGUGCUGUGGCAUGUAUGUAAGUAUUUGCAACUAUUUUUGGUAAAUAUGAAAUUAAAUCUUGCAACAACCUCCUUCAAAACGCUAAGAGGGUGAGAGUAAAACAUCUUCCACGAAAGCACUUGGCUCUCUCAAUUGAACGUCAAGGAUGGGAUUUGAACCCACGCGUGCAGAGCACAAUAAGUUAGCAGUCCAUCGCCUUAACCACUCGACCACCUCGUCACGUAGGCUCCCACUUUCCUGAUGGAGCCUGGACUGUGGCACAUAAUUAUUUAUGUAUGUUCCUGCAACCAUCUUCGGUAGAUGACUUUCCAAUUUGCCAUAACAAGCAUGAAGAUGGUGCGAGUAAGAUACCUUCCAUGAAAGCCCCGGCCUCUCCUAAACAAACGACGAGGAUGGGAUUCGAACCCACGCGUGCAGAGCACAAUGGAUUAGCAGUCCAUCGCCUUAACCACUCGGCCACCUCGUCACAUAUGUUCCCACCUUUCUGAGGGAGUCUAGACUGUGGCACAUAUUUGUUUAUGUAUGUUUCUGCAACUAAUUUCGGCCAAAUGACUUUCAAUUUUGCCAUAACAUGCUUCGAAGCACUAAGAGGGUGAGAGUAAGAAACCUUCCACGGAAGCACUGGGCUCUCUUGAAUGAACAACGACGACGGGAUUAAACCGCACACAUGCAGAGCACAAUGGAUUAGCAGGCCAUCGCCUUAUCCACUCGGCCCCCUCCUCUCGCAUACAUGCGCUUUCCUGAUGGAGGCUGGACUGUGGCGUGUACGUAUGUUUUUGCCGCUAAUUUCGCUACAUAUUACAUAAAGUUUUUGCCAUAACGUCCUUUAAGACGCUAAGAGGUGCAAGUAAGAAACCUUAGACAGAAGCAGUGGCCUCUCCCAAAACAACGAGGAUGGGAUUUAAGCUUGCAGAGUACAGCGUACUAACCUAAGCACUCGGCCACCUCAUCAUGCGUAAGCACAACUUUGUGCCAGAGGAAGGUUUAACUUUUAGUUGGACGAGCAACAAGGAUGGGACUCAAACCCGCGCGAGCAGAGCACCAGGGAUUAGCAGUCUUUUACCCUAGCCACUCAGCCACCUCGUCUCAGGUUACCUGCUUGUUGUGCAGGAAGUUGGACUUUGUUGUUUCUUGGGGGUUCUUACGAAAAAGAUGCAGCUAAAGCUUGUCAUAAGGAGCUUUUCAAUAGCUCGAAUCAGUGCCCCAUAGUUAUUGUUCAACAUUGACUUCAAUGUGUUUCUUCCGCUUUUGUUGGAGAGAAACUAGACAAAAUGCCUGAGUCUAAAAACGGCAGCAUAGCUGACCCUGGAUUUGUGUGCAAAUAUGAUUUCAGUGCCCUUGCAUGCUUCAUUAUUUUACCCCAAUCCCUGCACAGCCCAGUAAAUGCAUCCCAAUCUCAGCCAUUUUCUCGGCCGUUCAGCGUUGUGACUCCGCCCCCUUUACCACAUUACCCACAGUUCUCUUCUCCCAGAUUCACAAAAGUAGUGUAAACUUUUCUUUAAGUUAAAAUGAAACAGUGUAUAAGUAAUUCUUUUUAGGCAUUUCAAUAACCUGUUCUACUGACACAGCAUGCACUCAUUGGUGCCAGAAGGCUGAUGGCUAGCAGUUUAAAGUUUGAUACCACCUUGUCGUUUCAUGUCCAGAUUGGUAGAUAUAAGAGUUCAUUGUUGAGAUUGGUAUUCUUUCGCAGAGGCAAUAUCAUAGCCUAUGAGGCCUAGCCGAGGCGUGAUCAUUGCUGGUUGAAAACUUUACCCAAUACCCCGCCGAGAUGGCUUGAAAUACAGUCAGCUCUGGCAAUUUUUGACAGCCUCCUAGAAGGCUCAAUGUUCUGUUCAAAAGAAUAGCUGAGUGUCUGGAUCUUGAACAUGCUGCAAUUUGCGCCAGAGUUGUUUCACUAAACAUGCAGCAGGUUGGAUUCACCUGAACCAUGACAAUCUUCAGAAUGUUGUCAGAAAACUUCAGCGGAAGCACCAGGCUCUCUGAAAAAUUGAACGACGAGGAUGGGAUUGAACCCACGCGUGGAUUAGCAGUCCAUCCCCUUAACCGCUUGGCAACCUCGUCAUGAAUUUACCCAGUUUCCUGGUGGGGGCUGUGCUGUGGCAUGUAUGUAAGUAUUUGCAACUAUUUUUGGUAAAUAUGAAAUUAAAUCUUGCAACAACCUCCUUCAAAACGCUAAGAGGGUGAAAGUAAAACAUCUUCCACGAAAGCACUUGGCUCUCUCAAUUGAACGUCAAGGAUGGGAUUUGAACCCACGCGUGCAGAGCACAAUAAGUUAGCAGUCCAUCGCCUUAACCACUCGACCACCUCGUCACGUAGGCUCCCACUUUCCUGAUGGAGCCUGGACUGUGGCACAUAAUUAUUUAUGCAUGUUCCUGCAACCAUCUUCGGUAGAUGACUUUCCAAUUUGCCAUAACAAGCACGAAGAUGGUGCGAGUAAGAUACCUUCCAUGAAAGCCCCGGCCUCUCCUAAACAAACGACGAGGAUGGGAUUCGAACCCACGCGUGCAGAGCACAAUGGAUUAGCAGUCCAUCGCCUUAACCACUCGGCCACCUCGUCACAUAUGUUCCCACCUUUCUGAGGGAGGCUAGACUGUGGCACAUAUUUGUUUAUGUAUGUUUCUGCAACUAAUUUCGGCCAAAUGACUUUCAAUUUUGCCAUAACAUGCUUCGAAGCACUAAGAGGGUGAGAGUAAGAAACCUUCCACGGAAGCACUGGGCUCUCUUGAAUGAACAACGACGACGGGAUUAAACCGCACACAUGCAGAGCACAAUGGAUUAGCAGGCCAUCGCCUUAUCCACUC